This 1170-nucleotide long non-coding RNA is filed under the name Sus scrofa (pig). RNAcentral's name for it is "lncRNA (ENSSSCG00065041929.1)". Lineage: Eukaryota; Metazoa; Chordata; Mammalia; Artiodactyla; Suidae. The record is from RNAcentral.
CUCAUAAAGUCUUCUCCUGAAAACAUCUGUCCGCAGACCUAUUCUGCCAGUUUUUCCAGAGCACAGAGCACCUCACUCCUGAUCUCUGCUCUGAGCUCCUUUCGGGGGUGCUGAAGGUCAGCAGCUGCAGUGGUUCAUGAUUCAGUCCAUGUAGAGGCAGAUGGCAGGUGCCAAUGCCCAGUUCACAGCCAGGGCAGAGAAGAAGUCUAAGAGGGAGUGUGCGCUUUUUUCCCUUCCUCCUUUUGAGAUUUGCUGUUCUAAAUGUGCUCAUCCCACAGGGAAUUCCAUUCUUUCUGACCUAAAACCCAACCAUAUUCCUUGUUCCAUGCUACCUCCCACAGCAGGCACUUAAAAAGUCUCCAUAACCUCCGAGGUUAAGUCCAACAUCCUUAGCAUGGUCUUCCGGUCCUUUUCAACUUGAUCUGAGAGGCUCUAUCUGGAAUCAUUUUAUCUAAGACUUCCUCUGUCCAUCCUCACCCCCGUCCUCCCUGAACAACAGGUAUAUUCAUGUCAUUGCACGUGGUGUUUUUCUCUGUCUGAAAUGUCCUUUCCCCAUUUUUCUAUGGGGAUGUCAUUUCUUUUCUUCCUUGCUAGGAAGGCCCCUAAUAUUCCUUUCAAAUUCAGCUCCACUGUCACAGUUAUUCAGUCAACCAUAUUUAUGUAGGGAGCAUUGUAUGUCUCUAUAAAGUCCCUUUGAUAGAGGAGAUAGGGAUAAAAACACCCUCCUCCAGGCUCCUGAUAUAUCUUGUAACAACAUUUGCCACAGUAUAUCAAAAUGUAUGUAAGUAACACCCAUGCCCCGGUGUAUGUCUGAUAUUUGCACUUCAUGCCCAACCCAGUGCUUGCUAUAUAGUAGGGUCUCAGCUCACACUAGAUCCUCAUAGAUGGUGCUCAGUUCCUAGGAGAUGCUUGACAAAUAGUGGAGGGCGGAGUUCCCGUUGUAGCACAGUGGAAAUGAAUCUGUCUAGGAAUCAUGAGGUUGCGGGUUUGAUCCCUGGCCUCUCUCAGUGGGUUAAGAAUCUGGCAUUGCCAGAUGUUACCUUGAGCUGUGGUAUAGGUUAUGGACAUGAAUCAGAUCUGAUGUUGCUAUGGGUAUGGGCAUAGUCUGGCAGCUAUAGCUUCAAUUAGAUCCCUAGCCUGAGAACCUACAUAUGCUGUGGGUGUGACCCU